Long non-coding RNA from Lagopus muta (rock ptarmigan), 2002 nucleotides. RefSeq lists it as uncharacterized. The transcript has 3 exons. The record is from RefSeq and is a predicted model, not a curated record. Lineage: Eukaryota; Metazoa; Chordata; Aves; Galliformes; Phasianidae.
AGCAGCCACAAUGCCCCACCUCCUGCAGACCAUAAAGAGCCAGGCUAGCAAAGCUGCUGUACCUCAAUAUGGUCCCUAGAAGGUGCCUCAGGCUGAGAUGUAUCAUAGGAGGUUUACUCCACUUCAUCCAACAGUGUUGUAUCAUCAAAAUCCAAGCACAGAGACAGUAAACUGCCCCAAGUCCAUUUAUGCUUGAAGUAAAGUCCCAGGAUGCUACGGCAAGGGCAUGGUGGGCACUGCCAGCUGACGUAAAUGCAUGGUGUGCUUGAGGAGCUCCUAUCUGAUCUUGCAUCCAGAGCUGUGAGGGGAGAGCAACUAGCUGCUGAGCUCCAAGGUGAAGAAGACACAAAGAUUCAUUUCAAUGCUGAGAGUUAAGGCUGUUUCUUCUGGAGAAGAGAAGACUCUGGAGAGGCUUCAUAGUAAAGCACCUUGAUACCUCCAUAGACUUAAGAAUGGGAUCUGCUAUCUUAUCAAAGGGGGAGAUGUGUACAAAGGCAUUGCAGGCAUCAGAUCCAAGUUUCAUCGUAACAGUUUAAAGUGUAAUGCUGUUGGUUUUUUUUUUUUUUUUUAGUUUUAAAAAAUUAGAUUGACCUAACAAGAAAAUCCAAAUUUUGAAAUAAAAUUAAAUAGGACAAAAUAUUCCUAGUGCUAAAUCUUUUAAAAGGCAACUAUGGCUCCUAGCUUACCUUCUUGUUUAAGACUACAUAUAUGCUGUUGGCUGUUGAGUCUUUUAUGCCUCUGCUGAAAGCACAGGUGCCCUUCCCAGUAUUCUCCAUAAAUGUUUCUGGAUCUUUGUGCCUCUGCUAUUGUGUCUUGUUCAUGGAGGAUUUGUUUACUCCUUUCUGAAAGCAAUUUUAAAACAUCUGGCUGCAAUUACCUUGCUUUCAGGGCUCUUUAUGCCUAAUUUUUUUUUUUCUUUCGUGUUUAGUUUCAUUCAGACACUGGCACCUCUGAAGUACUCCUUGCUGCAUAUAUUCCAACAUGGUUGAGAUAAAACACUGAACUUGCUGCCAUAAAGCAGGCUUUAUUUCAGCUCAAUCAAGCUCCACAGUUGUAGCCCUUCUCAUAACUCCCUGCCAUUGUCUGUGUCCUUCUUCAAUCUUUUUCUAGUGUGAGCCCAGACUGGCCACAAGAAAUGGCCUGAAAGGGAUGGUCCUUUGCAAUUCCUUGAAAUACCAGGACUGGAGAGGUAGCAACACGUUAUGCUUGAGCCCCAAGUGCUUCAGGGAACAUUUGGACAUCUGUAUGUGUAGGGUCUGGCUUCAGAAAUUUUUGUAACUACUCUCAUGUUUCUUUGCCUUUAUUUAAUCAGUUUACUGGAUGAAUUAAUAUAAAAAAAUGCAGAUAGGCAAGAGGUUAACACAGAAGAAUGUCCUUUAUUCAUAUUGAACAGACCAGGCCAGAGAAAUGGAAGAGUAUUCUCAUUUAAAAUACUAUGAAUAUUUCUAAAUUUCAACAUACAAAUGGUAGAAAGUGACCGUAUAGUACAUAGUUUAAUCUCUGAAAGAUCCAGAAUGACACCCUACAUUUCUGCACAAAUUUAAUGGCAAUGCUGACAUCACAGGCUUUCCAGUGUGGGUAUCCAGUGCUGGCACCAAGCAAUCUGUACCACCCUGUCCCUUUUUGAACACUUCCCUGACUUAAUGGCUUGGAAGGAUCAUCUCUGUUAUUAGAAAUAAAUAUCUGAACUAAUACUGUUAAUUGACACUGCUGGUGUCUUUGUCUUGCAUCUGCUGCCAUUGCAGUGUAUCAAAAAUAGAUAAUUUUCUGAUUUGCUUGUCAUGUUAAUUGGACACUUUCAUACAACAUAUUUAAUAUUUCUAAGUGGCAGAGCAAAAAUCCCCAGACUGAGGGUAACAUGGGGUGCUUUAGGAAGUGUGUAAGUUCAAGAGUAAUGUAGAAAAGUAAUACUGUGUACCCAAGAGUGUAAUUGUAGCUCUGGCUGCUUUUUUCUCCUUUUCUCAGAUGGGGAAAGUUUUGGAGGGGGCUGUUUGAAACAGUU